GAAAGGGAGAAAGAAAAGAGAAGCAGGGAGUGGCUAUGGGCCUUUUCUAGCUGAGUCGACUCGGUGGAUUUCCCUCGAGUUGUCGAGUUCUGGUGAACUUAGCCGAAUCCAGUUAUAUCAGCUUGGUAGUGAAAUUCGACUCCACGCUUGGACCCCGUUAUUUCAUCCGAGUUGCCCUUUGCAAGAUAGAUCCAAGUUGAGUGACUCGCUUGGAUAGGACUCAACUCUGAGGGUGCACGCGCUUCCUAGCAACGUCAGUUAACAAUUCAAGUAAAAGGUAGUACAGGUGGCUUAAGUGAUAUGCAUGUUUAGACUUGAUAAGGAGCAGGGUACGAUCACCAAGAAUGCUUGACUGUAUGCUUGGAGGAGCUGUGUGAUCUUGCGGCUUAUAUUUAUAUGCUUUAUAUUAUUUCUUAUGUAUUAGAUCAUGUAAUUCUUGUAUUUGUUAAUUUUGAAGACAUUAGUUUGUAUAAGUCAUUAUGGGCAUAUUUGAAUGAUAAUGAAAUUUUUCUUUAUGUCGA
Magnolia sinica is the source of this 521-nucleotide long non-coding RNA. RefSeq lists it as uncharacterized. The record is from RefSeq and is a predicted model, not a curated record. The transcript is spliced from 3 exons. Lineage: Eukaryota; Viridiplantae; Streptophyta; Magnoliopsida; Magnoliales; Magnoliaceae.